GACGAGCCUCACAAACGUUAUUCGGAAUUACUGGGCUUAAAGGGUGCGUAGGCGGUGCGGAAAGUUGGGUGUGAAAUCCCUCGGCUCAACCGAGGAACUGCGCCCAAAACUACCGUACUCGAGGAAGAUAGAGGUGAGCGGAACUUACGGUGGAGCGGUGAAAUGCGUUGAUAUCGUAAGGAACACCCGUGGCGAAAGCGGCUCACUGGGUCUUUUCUGACGCUGAUGCACGAAAGCUAGGGGAGCAAACGGG
RNAcentral lists this ribosomal RNA (253 nucleotides) under uncultured bacterium. RNAcentral describes it as "partial 16S ribosomal RNA". It matches the Rfam family "Bacterial small subunit ribosomal RNA", at positions 524 to 776 of the family's 1533-position model. The record is from RNAcentral.